RNAcentral lists this ribosomal RNA (253 nucleotides) under uncultured bacterium. Its description in RNAcentral is "partial 16S ribosomal RNA". It matches the Rfam family "Bacterial small subunit ribosomal RNA", at positions 524 to 776 of the family's 1533-position model. The record is from RNAcentral.
UACGUAGGGUGCAAGCGUUAUCCGGAAUUAUUGGGCGUAAAGAGCUCGUAGGCGGUUUGUCGCGUCUGCUGUGAAAGACCGGGGCUCAACUCCGGUUCUGCAGUGGGUACGGGCAGACUAGAGUGAUGUAGGGGAGACUGGAAUUCCUGGUGUAGCGGUGAAAUGCGCAGAUAUCAGGAGGAACACCGAUGGCGAAGGCAGGUCUCUGGGCAUUAACUGACGCUGAGGAGCGAAAGCAUGGGGAGCGAACAGG